This 1009-nucleotide ribosomal RNA is filed under the name human gut metagenome. RNAcentral's name for it is "bacterial SSU rRNA". It matches the Rfam family "Bacterial small subunit ribosomal RNA", at positions 31 to 1046 of the family's 1533-position model. The record is from RNAcentral.
GAACGCUGGCGGCGUGCUUAACACAUGCAAGUCGAACGGGAUCCCGGGGGUUCGCUCCCGGGUGAGAGUGGCGAACGGGUGAGUAAUGCGUGACCGACCUGCCCCAUACACCGGAAUAGCUCCUGGAAACGGGUGGUAAUGCCGGAUGCUCCGGUUGGAUGCAUGUCCUUCCGGGAAAGGUUCCAUCGGUAUGGGAUGGGGUCGCGUCCUAUCAGCUUGAUGGCGGGGUAACGGCCCACCAUGGCUUCGACGGGUAGCCGGCCUGAGAGGGCGACCGGCCACAUUGGGACUGAGACACGGCCCAAACUCCUACGGGAGGCAGCAGUGGGGAAUAUUGCACAAUGGGCGCAAGCCUGAUGCAGCGACGCCGCGUGCGGGAUGGAGGCCUUCGGGUUGUAAACCGCUUUUGAUCGGGAGCAAGCCCUUCGGGGUGAGUGUACCUUUCGAAUAAGCACCGGCUAACUACGUGCCAGCAGCCGCGGUAAUACGUAGGGUGCAAGCGUUAUCCGGAAUUAUUGGGCGUAAAGGGCUCGUAGGCGGUUCGUCGCGUCCGGUGUGAAAGCCCAUCGCUUAACGGUGGGUCUGCGCCGGGUACGGGCGGGCUGGAGUGCGGUAGGGGAGACUGGAAUUCCCGGUGUAACGGUGGAAUGUGUAGAUAUCGGGAAGAACACCAAUGGCGAAGGCAGGUCUCUGGGCCGUCACUGACGCUGAGGAGCGAAAGCGUGGGGAGCGAACAGGAUUAGAUACCCUGGUAGUCCACGCCGUAAACGGUGGAUGCUGGAUGUGGGGCCCGUUCCACGGGUUCCGUGUCGGAGCUAACGCGUUAAGCAUCCCGCCUGGGGAGUACGGCCGCAAGGCUAAAACUCAAAGAAAUUGACGGGGGCCCGCACAAGCGGCGGAGCAUGCGGAUUAAUUCGAUGCAACGCGAAGAACCUUACCUGGGCUUGACAUGUUCCCGACAGCCGUAGAGAUAUGGCCUCCCUUCGGGGCGGGUUCACAGGUGGUGCAU